RNAcentral lists this ribosomal RNA (441 nucleotides) under uncultured bacterium. Its description in RNAcentral is "partial 16S ribosomal RNA". It matches the Rfam family "Bacterial small subunit ribosomal RNA", at positions 338 to 795 of the family's 1533-position model. The record is from RNAcentral.
CCUACGGGUGGCUGCAGUCGGGAAUAUUGCGCAAUGGAGGAAACUCUGACGCAGUGAAGCCGCGUAUAGGAAGAAGGUUUUCGGAUUGUAAACUAUUGUCGUUAGGGAAGAUAAAAGACUGUACCUAAGGAGGAAGUCCCUGCUAAAUAUGUGCCAGCAGCCGCGGUAAUACAUAGGGGGCGAGCGUUAUCCGGAAUUAUUGGGUGUAAAGGGUGCGUAGAGGGAAGAACAAGUUGGUUGUGAAAUCCCUCGGCUCAACUGAAGAACUGCAACCAAAACUAGUCGCCUUGAGUGCCGGAGAGGAGAGUGGAAUUCGUAGUGUAGCGGUGAAAUGCGUAGAUAUUAGGAAGAACACCAGUGGCGAAGGCGACUUUCUGGACGAUAACUGACGUUGAGGCACGAAAGUGUGGGGAGCAAACAGGAUUAGAUACCCCAGUAGUC